GAACCCACUAACGUUGAAAAGUUAGGGGAUGAGCUGUGGAUUGGAGUGAAGGCUAAUCAAGCCGGGGAUAGCUGGUUCUCCCCGAAAAUAUUGAGGUAUUGCUCGGAUGAAUUGCACCGGAGGUAGAGCACUGGAUGGGCUAGGGGUCUUACCGGACUACCAAACCCAACCAAACUCCGAAUGCCGGUGACAACUGUCCGGGAGACAGGCUGCGGGAGAUAAGUUUCGUAGCCGAGAGGGAAAGAGCCCAGAUCGUCAGCUAAGGUCCCAAAGUUCGUGCUCAGUGUUAAAGGAUGUGAUCGCGCAUUGACAGCCAGGAGGUUGGCUUAGAAGCAGCCACCCUUUUAAAGAGUGCGUAAUAGCUCACUGGUCAACGCGAGAUCGCGCCGAAAAUAUAACGGGGC
Molecule: ribosomal RNA, 404 nt
Filed under: uncultured bacterium
Lineage: Bacteria
Description: bacterial LSU rRNA
Rfam family: Bacterial large subunit ribosomal RNA
Source: RNAcentral